RNAcentral lists this ribosomal RNA (652 nucleotides) under uncultured archaeon. Its description in RNAcentral is "bacterial SSU rRNA". It matches the Rfam family "Archaeal small subunit ribosomal RNA", at positions 207 to 859 of the family's 1478-position model. The record is from RNAcentral.
GGAUGGGUCUGCGGCCGAUUAGGUAGUUGGUUAGGUAAUGGCUUACCAAGCCGUUGAUCGGUACGGGUUGUGAGAGCAAGAGCCCGGAGAUGGAACCUGAGACAAGGUUCCAGGCCCUACGGGGUGCAGCAGGCGCGAAACCUCCGCAAUGUGAGAAAUCGCGACGGGGGGAUCCCAAGUGCCAUUCUUAACGGGAUGGCUUUUCAUUAGUGUAAAAAGCUUUUGGAAUAAGAGCUGGGCAAGACCGGUGCCAGCCGCCGCGGUAACACCGGCAGCUCUAGUGGUAGCAACUUUUAUUGGGCCUAAAGCGUCCGUAGCCGGUUUAAUAAGUCUCUGGUGAAAUCCUGUAGCUUAACUGUGGGAAUUGCUGGAGAUACUAUUAGACUUGAGACCGGGAGAGGUUAGAGGUACUCCCAGGGUAGAGGUGAAAUUCUGUAAUCCUGGGAGGACCGCCUGUUGCGAAGGCGUCUAACUGGAACGGUUCUGACGGUGAGGGACGAAAGUUAGGGGCGCGAACCGGAUUAGAUACCCGGGUAGUCCUAACUGUAAACGAUGCGGACUUGGUGUUGGGGUGGCUUUGAGCUGCUCCAGUGCCGAAGGGAAGCUGUUAAGUCCGCCGCCUGGGAAGUACGAUCGCAAGACUGAAACUUAA